This 493-nucleotide ribosomal RNA is filed under the name uncultured bacterium. RNAcentral describes it as "bacterial SSU rRNA". It matches the Rfam family "Bacterial small subunit ribosomal RNA", at positions 31 to 518 of the family's 1533-position model. The record is from RNAcentral.
GAACGCUGGCGGCGUGCCUAACACAUAGCAAGUCGAACGAAGCAUACGGACUGGAGAUUCGUCGAAGGACCGUAUGACUUAGUGGCGGACGGGUGAGUAAUGUAUGAGCAACCUGCCUUUCAGAGGGGGACAACAGUUGGAAACGACUGCUAAUACCGCGUAACGUAUCGUGGGGGCAUCCUCGUGAUAACCAAAGGAGCAAUCCGCUGAAAGAUGGGCUCAUAUCUGAUUAGCUUGUUGGCGGGGUAACGGCCCACCAAGGCGACGAUCAGUAGCCGGACUGAGAGGUUGAACGGCCACAUUGGGACUGAGAUACGGCCCAGACUCCUACGGGAGGCAGCAGGUGGGGAAUAUUGGGCAAUGGGCGAAAGCCUCGACCCAGCAACGCCGCGUGAAGGAAGAAGGUCUUCGGAUUGUAAACUUCUUUAUGAGGGACGAAGGACGUGACGGUACCUCAUGAAUAAGCCACGGCUAACUACGUGCCAGCAGCCGC